Molecule: ribosomal RNA, 253 nt
Filed under: uncultured prokaryote
Description: partial 16S ribosomal RNA
Rfam family: Bacterial small subunit ribosomal RNA
Source: RNAcentral
ACGUAGGUGGCAAGCGUUGUCCGGAUUUACUGGGCGUAAAGGGCGUGCAGGCGGUUUGUUUAGUCUAGGGUGAAAGCUCCCGGCUUAACUGGGAGAGGUCCUUGGAUACUGGCAAACUUGAGGGAGGCAGAGGAAAGUGGAAUUCCCGGUGUAGUGGUGAUAUUCGUAGAUAUCGGGAGGAACACCAGUGGCGAAGGCGGCUUUCUGGGCCUUACCUGACGCUGAGACGCGAAAGCGUGGGGAGCGAACCGGA